GUCUAUGGCCAUACUACCCUGAACGUGCCCUAUCUCGUCUGAUCUCAGAAGAUAAGCAGAGUCAGGCCUGGUUAGCACUUGGAUGGAAGAAGUUAUAUUUGUGAAGAAAAUUUAUAGAUU
Molecule: ribosomal RNA, 120 nt
Filed under: Microcebus murinus (gray mouse lemur)
Lineage: Eukaryota; Metazoa; Chordata; Mammalia; Primates; Cheirogaleidae
Source: RNAcentral